This 119-nucleotide ribosomal RNA is filed under the name Lupinus albus (white lupine). The record is from RNAcentral. Lineage: Eukaryota; Viridiplantae; Streptophyta; Magnoliopsida; Fabales; Fabaceae.
UCUGGGGUCCUAUGCGUAGAGGAACCACAUCAAUCCAUCCCGAACUUGGUGGUUAAACUCUACUGCGGUGAUGAUACUGUAGGGGAGGUCAUGCGGAAAAAUAACUCGGCGCCAGGAUG